This 511-nucleotide ribosomal RNA is filed under the name uncultured bacterium. RNAcentral's name for it is "bacterial SSU rRNA". It matches the Rfam family "Bacterial small subunit ribosomal RNA", at positions 975 to 1482 of the family's 1533-position model. The record is from RNAcentral.
CAAGUCUUGACAUAUUACAGAAGCAGUUAGAGAUAAUUGCUUACAUCUUCGGAUGACUGUAAUACAGGUGGUGCAUGGUUGUCGUCAGCUCGUGUCGUGAGAUGUUGGGUUAAGUCCCAUAACGAGCGCAACCCCUAUUGCUAGUUACCAUCAUUAAGUUGGGGACUCUAGUAAUACUGCCGGUGACAAACCGGAGGAAGGUGGGGAUGACGUCAAAUCAUCAUGCCCUUUAUGACUUGGGCUACACACGUGCUACAAUGGCAGGUACACAGGGUUGCAAGACUGUGAAGUUAAGCGAAACUCAAAAAGCCUGUCCCAGUUCGGAUUGCACUCUGCAACUCGAGUGCAUGAAGUUGGAGUUGCUAGUAAUCGUGGAUCAGAAUGCCGCGGUGAAUGCGUUCCCGGGUCUUGUACACACCGCCCGUCACACCAUGGAAGUUGGCAAUACCCGAAGCCUGUGAGCGAACCCUUUGGGGCGCAGCAGUCGAAGGUAGGGUCAGUAACUGGGGUG